GGAGGUAUGGCUCAGCUGGUUAGAGCGCUCGCUUCACAUGCGAGCGGUCGCUGGUUCGAAUCCAGCUACCUCCACCA
RNAcentral lists this transfer RNA (77 nucleotides) under Christensenellaceae bacterium. Its description in RNAcentral is "tRNA-Val". It matches the Rfam family "tRNA". Rfam says of the family: Transfer RNA (tRNA) molecules are approximately 80 nucleotides in length. The record is from RNAcentral. Lineage: Bacteria; Bacillati; Bacillota; Clostridia; Christensenellales; Christensenellaceae.